Schistocerca piceifrons (Central American locust) is the source of this 73-nucleotide non-coding RNA. The record is from the annotation of a RefSeq genome assembly. Lineage: Eukaryota; Metazoa; Arthropoda; Insecta; Orthoptera; Acrididae.
GUCCGGAUGGCGUAGUGGUCAGCGCACGUGCCUAGUAAGCAGGAGGCCCAGGUUCGAAUCCUGGUCCGGCACA